RNAcentral lists this long non-coding RNA (580 nucleotides) under Canis lupus familiaris (dog). Its description in RNAcentral is "lncRNA (ENSCAFG00000058504.1)". The record is from RNAcentral. Lineage: Eukaryota; Metazoa; Chordata; Mammalia; Carnivora; Canidae.
AAAAAAAAAAAAGAAGUACUGGAUGCGUCCAAAGAGCAAAUAAAACUUGUGGAGACUGGGACUGUUUCUUCAGUGCCCCUGCUUCCUCCAUCCUCACAGCAGCUCAGGGUCACCACAGAGCUAUGAACAGACACCUCAGCCACUUACCGACUGACUGGUCUUGCAUUUGACACACCCAUUUAAUGUGAUGAUUUAAUGUAAUUUUGUAUCUCUCUUCUCAGGAGAGCAAAGUCCCUCAUGCUGCGUUCAACUUCCUGGCUGGAAGACCAGGAUAAAGUUGCUUUUCAUCCCUCUGCUAGCAAGAGCAAGGCAGCACCCAUGUCAGGAGUGUGAGGGACCCAAGAAUGUUCUGGAGCUCCCCUAGAACAAGUGAUGUGCUUCAGCCACCUCAGACCAACUGGUGGUGACUUUCUUCCAUCAAGGCCUCCAGAUUACCCAAAGCAACUCUAAGCAUCAGGAGAACAAAUCUCCAGAGCCAACUUGGGGUGCUUUGGGGUCAUCUCCAUUUGAGGACUGGAGUCAGGGGCCUUCCUCAGCUGGUCUAGAUGCUGCAAAGAAACAGCCAUGUCCCAUAAUAAAG